RNAcentral lists this long non-coding RNA (5011 nucleotides) under Homo sapiens (human). Its description in RNAcentral is "non-protein coding DBH-AS1:2". The record is from RNAcentral. Lineage: Eukaryota; Metazoa; Chordata; Mammalia; Primates; Hominidae.
GCUCUCCAGGCUGGGGCCUGGCAUUUCACAGCGCUAGCGCCGUGACUUAUGGACCACAAGAAGCUGUGAUUUAUACAACGUGAGGCAGAGCUCCUGGGCUCGUGACUUCCCUUCUGUGAUGAAGUGAAGUGCCUUGCAGAAGCAGCAGCCGCUUAGCUGAUGCGAGGGGACUCCGAGGCCCAUCCAUCUCCCUCUCUCCCCAUGAGGCUGGGCAGCGUUUUGCUGAAGUGGCUGAACACAAGUGCAUCUGUUACUGUCUCCAGAAACCAUCAAAGAGCUGAACUUGUCCCUGAGAGGCAGCUCAGAGGGCAGGAAGGGGAGACCCACCCAGGCCAGCUGAGGCAGCUUCAGGACGCUCAGGGGGAAGCACUUGGUACCACGCCUGGCACAGGGAGGAGGCUCAGGAGCAAGCUUCUCUCUCCUGGAGCGACGGCCCGGAGUGCAAACAUACCCACCUCCAGUGGGUGCCAGCCCAAGUGUGAGCUUUAUUGGCUCAUUAGCCCGCACGGCAUCAGCCUGGUUUUACAGAUGAGAAAAGUGAGGGUCAGGAAUGUGAAAUGGCCCGCCCAAGGCACACUCCCUAAGUGGCAGAACCACGCGGAAAGCACAGCCCUGACUCCACCCCGGUCUGUUCAGCGCUGGCCCCACCGGCAGAGAAGCAAGCUGGUGCUAAUAAUUCCACCCCACGUGGAACCGGCGCCCAGAAGCCCCGCUGGAUCUUUGCCGCCUCGUCUUUUGGUGAUAGUUGUUGUCAGGGCUUCCCUUUAGGUGGGCGAAAAUAUCUGUUUACUCAGGAAUGGAGCAAUUUCCCAGGCGAGUCUCUAACUAGCUAAAUGCCUGGUCCUGCCUCCGUCGCAGGGAAGCCGCCCACUGUGAAACACGAGCCACUCAGCAGGGAAAUGUUUAAGCGGCACCCGCACCCGCUGCACACCGGGAGCAGCGGGGCGGGGGCGGGGGCGUUCCCGGUGAUUCCACACCCCGGCCCAGCAUGGUGCCUGUCCCAGAAGCCAGGCCACACCCAGUGAGGCGGAACAGGGCUGGCGGAGGGCUGGACCCUGGACCACUGUGCAGGCUGUCCCUGCACUGAGUCAGCCGGGUUUAAAUGGACGAGGUCGUGGUCCACUCGGUCCAGGGUAGGUCAACAGGGCACCCACACCCUCUCAGCCAUGCAGGGGACCCUGGGGGAAGAAGGCUGGAUUGGACCGUGGUCUCAGGCAGGGGCGUGGUCUGGCCCCUUCAUCCUGGGCGUGCAGGGCUGUUCCAUGGGGAUCGUCGCAGAGUAGAGUGCACAGUGCCGGUGUGAGCCCACAGGGACAGCAUGGAGGAGGGGGAGGAGUAGGUCCCCCCUCAGCCUUUGCCCCCACCAAUGCUGACAACGGUGGGGCCAGCAGGGCUUCGGCCCUGGCUGGUGGGGCACUGUGGGGUGGGCUCUUCCAGUGUGGAGAUGACCUUGGGCAGGGGCUGCAGGUUCCAUUCACCCUGCAAGGAAGGGGGCAGGAGGUAAACUGAGGCUGGAGGGGCAAGAUGGGUGGCUGCUUCCCCAGCCACUUCCCAGCCACCUCUUGGAUUCUUGCCCUCAAACUCAGCUUGUCUCAAACUGAACUCACUCUGCUCCCCCAAGUUGCUUUUUGGGGGUCCUCACCUCAGUAAAUGCCCCCUCCCCUGGCUUCCCAUUCACCUAGUCAGGAACCUGGGAGUCAUCCAGGCCUCUCCCCGCCUCUGUCCCCACCCAAUUUAAUCAUUCACCCUAGUGUAGCAACCAGAGCCCCUGGCUGCAGGCUCUGAUAUUUUUUAGCUAUCUCUUCCCCUCAAGGCUACACCAAAUGCCAAGUUUUCAACCCCAUCAGACGUCCACCCCACACUAUUCUCAGCAAGCCAGUAUUAGCCCUUCCUUCCCUUGGUGCUGAGGAUGUUUGACUUAGCAGUUAAUCUGGCUCCCAAAUGCUUCUGGGAAGGAUCUUCCUGGAUCUCCAGGCUGCGGCACCUUACGCGACUAACUCUGCAUAGGCCCUGGCCUCCUGACCACAGCCCAGUGGGCCCAGGAUAAAUUAGAUGCCUUCGAAUACCAGUGGGUCUCAGAUAAGGAGGAAAAAACCAGCUCGCAGCUUCAGACUGGUUCGUUUCUUACCUUCCCCUCCCCUGGUGCUUUAUUUUUAGGCAGGUUAGUGCGCCCUGCUCACACCACCUGCAUUUGGCAUUCGGUACAGUGUGGAGGUGUCACCAGAGAGGGUGCCUGCCCUCCCUUCCUUGCCUCGUUAUUGGUUCUCUCUCUCUCCCUCUCUCUCUCUCUCUCUCUCCUCUCUCUCUCCUCUCUCCCUCUCCCUCUCUCCCUCUCCCUCUCUCCUCUCUCUCCUCUCUCUCCUCUCUCUCCUCUCUCUCCUCUCUCCUCUCUCUCUGCUGGCUGGCUGGCUGUCUAGGCCUAUGUGUCACCACCUGGCACUUGCUCUCAUUGUCUUGUGCGAGUGCUUUUGCCAGCAGUUUGGAGUGCAGACCCAUCACCCCUCACUGGGGCCCCCCAUGAGGCCUGCCUGACUGCAUGCCCCACCCGGGCCCAUGGCAGCGCACCUGGAAGCGGACGGCUGAGGACUUGUUGCAGUGCAUGGAGAUGGGCGCGAAGCUGUACAGGGCCUUCAGUACGUCGCGGUUGAAGGAGUUCCAGGGAACAGAGGAUCCCGAAGCCCCCCUGCAAGUUGGAGGAGACCCGUCAGCCCCGGGCCAUGCCACGCAGACGCUGCCAUCCAGCAGCUUUCGCCGCACCCACGUGUACACUGCGUCCACUCGUCUGUUCACUGCACCGUGCCAGGCAUGCUCUGGGGAACCGAGUCCCUGCCCUCAAGGAAUUGCCACCAUUGGCAGGAGAGACAGGCAGUGAGUGAGUGAGUCAACCAGGAAAUUCGUAUCAGGUACUGAUGAUGCUGUGAGGAAAAAUGAAACGGGACAAGCGGAUGGGGUGUUAUUGUGCCCAUUUUAUGGGUACAGAAACUGAGUCUCAGAGCAGGCAAGGGGAUGCCCCGUGGUGGCCACAGCAUCGGUGGCACAGCCUGAGUGCACCCAGCGUCCCGGCCAUUGUCUGGAAGCUGUCCCCAUGACCUCCAGCGAGAGCCUGGAGCCAAGGACUGCAAGGGAGGCCCUUUCCACUGCAGCCCCGCACCGUCCACCAGUCAUUUCUCCAACGUGGCUCUGAGGGGAGCAGGGACUCUAUAAGACAGGACCGUGACUAGAGGCCGCGACAACCUCCAGCCUCUCACGGCAACCCUACGGCCUGCCAUCGCAUGGGAGGGGCAGGGCAGGCACCCUCUGAGUCCCCACUGCCAGCUUUAAGCCCCUCGCUGGGUUGCUGCUCUUGGAGCUGGUGACCGUGGAGCCUCAGCCAUAGGAGGAAGAACAGCAGCAGCUUGGAGGAGCUGGGGCUGGAGAGAGCAAAGCUCCCCCGGCAGCAGCUCAGAUCCCAGCAGGUCAGGGGCCGGGACAUGACGCCCUGGCCACCCUUGCCCCUCCAGGCUCCCCGCUGUUUGUGAAGCUGCUGUGGGCCUGGGGAUUUCAUCUGGCUGGUGGGGAAGAAAGGCAAUCUUUACUCUAUGGCAGAACAAAGGGACUGGGCAAAGCUUGGCGUGGCACUUACACCAGCUGCCGCCCCCUCCUCCCGUGCAGACAAAGAGCAUGGGACAGUUCUGCCCAGAGACGAAACCUGGCACCUGUUGGCCAGGACGCGUUUUUGCCAGCAUUGUUCUCUGGGCCGGAUUCCUCCUUUCCCAGCUUUUCUCAUCCAUCCCGCCCCCGUCAGAUCGGGACGAUUGCCCUCCUGUGUGAGUUCCUGUCCCUCCCCACCCUCUGCCACCACAGACAUCAAAAGGGAACUGAGUCCGACCCUGUGUAGAAUCUGUUCUCCUCUUUCACCUGGGGAAGGAAAUCGAAUUUCAAAGGCCACUGUGUCUUGGAUCAGCAGGCGAGGGCUUGUCAGAGUGUGAGAAGCUCAGGUCCACCUGGGGAGCUGCCCUCCCCUUUGAUCCCACCUGGUGCUGUGAUGUGGCCACUGCCAAGAGGACGACAUGGGCCAGGGAAGCCACAGAACUGCCCACGGGGACGCUGGCACCGAGGGCCUCAACCUGCAGAACGGCCAUCUGAGAUGUCCGCGGUGCUCACCAGGCCUGGCAGCCCCGAACGCCCUGGGACGUGGCGUCAGUUCCGCCGCCGUGAAGCCAGAUUGGGCAGGGAAUAUGCAGUCUCCUCGCUGGAUGCCCGGCAAGACCCUCCCAUCCCUGGCCCCGGGGCCGCGCCUGCAGAAUGGGGCUGAUGGUGGGGACUUGCCUGGGGUGCUCCACCUGCAGAGCCCUCUGUUUGCGAGCCCACUCAGUCACUGCACAGGUGCUUAGCCGAGAGGCGGCACAGUCGGGGUUGGCACCUGCACCCAUACCAGCCCUGCCUCCUGUUCGCUGUGUGGCCUGAGUGGCUGGACCUCACUGUAUCUCCUGGUGGGAUUGCUCAGAGGUCUCAGCAAGGCUUGGUGUGGUUAGGAUGAGUUAUUAGAGCAGUGCUGAGCUGUGGCAAGCACCCGACAUCAGCCACUGCUGUGAUAUACUGAGCACCUCCUCUAGAGAGAAUAAAGGACUGACAAAGCUGUCCUGUCUCCACCCUGAGUUUGUGAUCAGGAACCUAGGACACUUGUCACCUGAAAUCCAAGGGAGACAGGAAGGGUGGGGUAACAGCUGUGAGGCACAAGACCCUGGGUCAAAUCCCAGCUCAGCCAUCUAUCAGCUGUGUGACUUUGGUCAAGUGCCUGCCCUCUCUGAGCCUUUAUGUCUCACCUGUGAAAAUACAAACACUGGCUGGGUGCUAUGGCUCAUGCCUGUAAUCCCAGCAUGAGGGAUUACAUGAGGAGUUUGAGACCAGCCUGGCCAACAUGGUGAAAAUCCAUCUCUACUAAAAAUACAAAAAUUAGCCAGGCGUGGUGGUGGGUGCCUGUAGUCCCAGCUAUUCAGGAGGCUGAGGCAGGAGAAUCGGUUGAACUCGG